ACCGGUCACCCACUCACCGCCCUAUAAAAAGCACGUUUCGUUUGUGCUUGUAGACACAGUUAUAUUUGUAUAAUUGUUCCAGGUAACAAUCUUUAGCCUAUGUUUGAAAUCUCACCGUUCUGUGUGCGAGCCAAUACCGGAGUUUGCCUGCAACUCAUUUUUCCCUCUCAAGAUGUGGAACGCUAAAACUUGGCUGUGCAUUGCUCCAGAUCCCGUCCUGUUAGCGCUGAAGCAGCCCUAAUGAGUUUCGUUUGACCGUGAUAUCGCACUGCACAUAAUGCAAGGAAAAUAACGCAGGCUUCAACCUUACCGUUGUUUUAAACUCAGCCAUGGAAUGACAAACCGGCCAGGAGAUGCGUGUAAAAGUAUCUGCCUUUCCAAAAGGCAGCUGUAACAUCCCACGACCCCAGCCUUGUACUUUUCGACUCCUGAAGUGUUGGGAUGCAGAUAAAGGUGAGAUUAAGAUUGUAUGCGGUCUACUCAUUGUCCGACUGUUCAGUUGCUCAACACGCAUGUUAAGAGUGUAGACGACCCGGCCUGCGUUGGGUUUGAUGCCUAUGAAAUCCCCGGUGGGUGCGAAGAGCGGUGCACAUGGUAGUUCACAUGUCGCCGGUAUAAGGCCCACCAACAAUGAAACGGCUUUCCAUGACCGCCGGGCGCCGAGAACCACCCCUGGCGGACAGAUACGGGCUGGAUAGUAGCAAACCCUGCUCACUCGUUUGUCGUCCUAAGCCUGAUUUUCAGGCCCCUAUUUCUCCCCCUCAGUGCACAAUAAUCCCCGAGAACACUAAGGGCUUCGUUUUCUAAACACACGACAUGAUCUUCCUCCCUGUUCCCUGCUGUUUGUGCUCACUGAGCACACGUUCGAUCGGGGAUCUCCGUCUUGACUGAACUUAAAUGCAAUGAAUGCAAACAUUCUACCUCCUGAACCUGGAAGUUUCAUCAUGAAUUGAACGAACACUUUCGGGGCCAGACCAUCCCCACGUGAUGACCUGUUUGCACGGCCAUCCAAAAUACAAUCCACACAGGUCUCCACCAUUGCAUACCCGCAUGCGCACCACCGCAAUCCAAGGUCUGUGAACGGAGCACAGCGCCCAACGGAACGUGACAUGUUUCUCACACAACAGCAACUGCGAAUGUGCAGGAAACGGAAAAUGAUACAGUAUUUGUAAGGCAGAACUAAGAAUCGUUAUCCGUGUGCGCUUAGCUAUGUUAAUACGCAACCUGCAGAAUGCACCCAGUUUCCGUUCCACUCUAUCGGACCAGCGCAUGCCCGGUUCCGUCCGAUGUCAGGGAAUAGCACGUGCUCUGUUCCGUCCGGUGUCAGCCAAGCACGGAAUGAGGCACUCAUCCGCGCGUAGUCACAGCGCACAGAUGGCCAGAGACCGUCCUAGGCGAGCUGUCCUCGAUGCAGCACAAUGGAGGACGCAUGUGGCGAGCCAACCAAGCAGGGCUAGCGACGGGAGUUCCCUGCCAGCAAUCCGCCUGGCCCAGGCCGCGGCGCCCCGCACGUAGCGCAAAUCUUGGCAGUCACGUCGUCGUUGUUCACAGUGCACUUGGUGCACGUCCAGAAGCCCUGCUCCUGAAGCAACUGCAGCAAAGGCAAUGAACAGGGAGGGGUUGCAUUCUCAGUUGCAGCUGAAAACGUGCGUUCAGGCGAAGCGGGCUCACGAUCCAAUACUCGGGAUCACAUACCUGCAAUUCAGAA
Molecule: long non-coding RNA, 1708 nt
Filed under: Volvox carteri
Lineage: Eukaryota; Viridiplantae; Chlorophyta; Chlorophyceae; Chlamydomonadales; Volvocaceae
Description: long non-coding RNA (VCAR_LNC000910)
Source: RNAcentral